Elaeis guineensis (African oil palm) is the source of this 579-nucleotide non-coding RNA. NCBI's taxonomy places the organism in Eukaryota, Viridiplantae, Streptophyta, Magnoliopsida, Arecales, Arecaceae. The record is from RefSeq and is a predicted model, not a curated record.
AGAAACAAUAUUUUUAGUCGCAAAUCUAUCAAUAAUUAGUGUCUUUAAAUGAUACUAAUAGUUCUUCAUAUAGAGACCCGAGGAUGCCCUCUUUUUAUCAAUAACCAGGUUCAAAGGUCCAGAGAGGAGGCUAGAGAUGAGAUUGGGAUCGUGCUUCAUUGGUGUUUGGUGGCUUCUCUUGUUCCUGUCCUGCAUUACAAUAUGUUCUGCAAGAAAACUUCUUCCAAUUUUAGAAGAAGAUACCAAGGCAUAUGCUGAUAAUGUUGAUGGAGAUAAGUCUCGGGACACCGACAAUAUUUUUGAUUAUGGCUCCUUUACGCCUACCCCCGGUGUGCCCAUACCGCCGCAUUCUCCACUUGAACCACCGGCGGCAAUGGAAGAAGAUCAUGUGAACUAUUCUAAGCCAAAUCCAAGCCAGGGCCUCCACUCCCGCCACCCUAAACAUCCUAUACCGAACUAGGUUCUGCCACCUUGUACAAUGUCCUAAUGCUGAAUCUUGCAUUGCUAUGAAUGAAUGGAAGCAUGUUGGCAAUAUCUAGCUUAUGAAUAAAGGGGACAUUGUUCAAUUUCUUUUUUUUU